RNAcentral lists this small RNA (28 nucleotides) under Bombyx mori (domestic silkworm). RNAcentral describes it as "ovarian small RNA-7393". Lineage: Eukaryota; Metazoa; Arthropoda; Insecta; Lepidoptera; Bombycidae. The record is from RNAcentral.
UCCUCGAUGGCCAUGGUCUUGUGGAGUC